UGUGGUGCUGAGGAUCGAACCCGGGCUGCACGCAUGCCAGCCAUGAGGUGAAAGGUUUGCCUCACCAUGAAAUGCUGCAUGGAGUGCUGCCUUGCCACAGGCCCAACCGACCAUACACAGAAACCCCUGAAACUAUGAGGAAACCAAUGCUUCCAGAGAAGCCCCAAAGUCAGUAGAGGAAAAAGCAGGGACAAAAAAGCAAACCCCUACCACCUCCCCCAAGGUGGCAGGAAGGCAGCAGAAGAGACAGCUGUCCUGGAUCUUCAAGGAGGGAUGGUUUCCAAGCAAGAGGCUUUCUUCUUUCAAAAAAACUGCUUCUAGGCAGAAGGACUGCUGGAGACCAGCCUGGGCAACAUGUGCAGACAGCUACCCAGGGGAAUGCUGGAAGAUUUGAGGUGGAUUCUCAGACGGCAGCCGCCCCGACGGCCCAGUCCUGCCGUUGGAACGGGAGGAAGUUCGCAGUCGGAGGCUACAAACCCCCAGUUAACGGACCUGCAGGCGGCGCCCGGCGCCUCUGCG
Marmota flaviventris (yellow-bellied marmot) is the source of this 519-nucleotide non-coding RNA. The record is from RefSeq and is a predicted model, not a curated record. Lineage: Eukaryota; Metazoa; Chordata; Mammalia; Rodentia; Sciuridae.